RNAcentral lists this long non-coding RNA (1284 nucleotides) under Scleropages formosus (Asian bonytongue). Its description in RNAcentral is "lncRNA (ENSSFOG00015031490.1)". The record is from RNAcentral. Lineage: Eukaryota; Metazoa; Chordata; Actinopteri; Osteoglossiformes; Osteoglossidae.
AUGAGGGCUACACAGCGCUCCACCUUGCUGCUAUUCAUGGACAUCACCAUAUUAUUCAGAUGCUCAUCAAUACCUACAAUGCCAGUGUCCACAUCAGAGACUAUCAUGGGAAGAUGCCCAUGCACUACUGGAGCGGCAGCAUGGAUGUGUUCAGCAGGCUGGGCUCGCAGGCCUGUGGGAAGUGGUCCAGAGGAAGGAGAGCCCAGCGUUAUGCCUACCUGCCAUCCCUGCUCAGCUCCCGCUCCCGCAGCCAGGGACACCUCAGCUUGGAGCUGGUGGCUGAAACAGAGCCUCCUGUCCCCCCCACACGUGCCCGCUCCCCGUCCUGACCCCCCAGCACACACAUGCACAGAGUCAAAACCCCCAACCAUACCAUGCCGCCAUACACUGCAUUCAAAAUGGCUGUGGGUCAAGUUGUCUUGCACUUCCAAUUCAGAAUGGGCUUUACUCUAAGGUAUUGCACAAUCUCAUUAUCACUGAAUAUUUUUUUGCAUAUUUAACUACACUUUUUUAAUUAGAAAGUAUUUUAUUAUUCAUGCACAUAAUUUGACUCGAGCUCAUGUUGCUGGUUUUCCCCUCUACAAACGAAAGGCAAAGCGGUACAAAGAAGAAUCAAAAAAGCUGUUCUUUUCUGCUACAGAAAGUUCCAGUUUGUAGUCUUUAACGUGCAAGUGAUUCAACCUUAUACGCUCAUAAUGGCUCGCUUUUAAUUUAGCUAAUAGCUAUCAUGUUAUGUACCUUUAGAAAUUUGCUAAAUUCACAGCACUGGGAGUUGUCUCUCAAUGCGCUACUAGUAAGUAGUUUGCUUUGUUUGGCUUUGACGUUGAAAGUGUUUGCUCAGGGUACGGCUCCUUGAUGUAUUAUUAAAAUUGGAAAUGGACUCCUGGGACACCAUCUAGUUAUAUGCUUUCAUUUGCUGGAUAAACCCAGCGUUGUUUUCAUCUUUUCUCAUGAUUGUUAAUGGCACCACUGAUGAGUAGGGUGUUUUUAUUUUUAUAUAUAUAUAUAUAUAUAUAUAUAUAUAUAUAUAUAAAAUAUAUUCUCCGCACUGCCUUUAUCAGUGCAGGCCUUAUUAUGCAGGCGAAAUAGCCAAGCUGCUGAUUUUGUUUAAGGUUUCAAUUAGUCAUCUGACUGAACACAUCUGUUCCUGGCGGCUGCCCCAGACUGGAGCAGUCCUAUUACCCACUCCAACAUGCUGAAGCUCCACGGCAGGUCGGGCCAAACCAGGCCACAGGGACAUGGUCCUGGUGCAGGCUUCUAGAUUUGUUAUAUAAUCAUGUCCGU